This 71-nucleotide transfer RNA is filed under the name Datura stramonium (jimsonweed). RNAcentral's name for it is "tRNA-Pro". It matches the Rfam family "tRNA". From Rfam's summary of the family: Transfer RNA (tRNA) molecules are approximately 80 nucleotides in length. The record is from RNAcentral. Lineage: Eukaryota; Viridiplantae; Streptophyta; Magnoliopsida; Solanales; Solanaceae.
GGGUGUUUGGUCUAGUGGUAUGAUUCUCGCUUCGGGUGCGAGAGGUCGUGAGUUCGAUUCUGCAACACCCC